RNAcentral lists this long non-coding RNA (438 nucleotides) under Homo sapiens (human). Its description in RNAcentral is "non-protein coding lnc-DCAF4L2-1:1". The record is from RNAcentral. Lineage: Eukaryota; Metazoa; Chordata; Mammalia; Primates; Hominidae.
AUUUUUUUCUAAGUGCCUGUUCUUGACCACCUCUGUGCAGGUUUUAGACUACCUUGUUACAGUCUUUAAGAAUGAAAGUCCAGGCUCUUCAAUCACACUUUGCUGAUAUGGAUGAGGGCUGCACCUUUCCUGGCCAUUUGGCUAGAGACGGCUGAUUUUCAUUGCUAUUUUACUGUUUUUGUUUCUGCACAUUGAUGUUUCCAGGUUACCGGCUUCUUCAGUUCUAAGCCUGAGAUAUAUGAGUCAAAAAGAAAACUCAGAAAACUCUCUACCAUGUUGUUCUUCAGGUGUCAGAUUUCCUAUCUGGUAUGCCUUCUUCUUUCUACCUUUCAGCAUCUUUUUAUGUUUGUUUUAUAUAUAAUUCCCAAGAUUUCUCAUUUUGUUUAGUUGAAGGAAUAGAGAAAAGUACAUCUGUUCUAUCUUCCUGGAAGUGAAAAC